RNAcentral lists this ribosomal RNA (6327 nucleotides) under Plenodomus lingam JN3. Its description in RNAcentral is "28S_rRNA". The stretch from base 307 to 3656 matches the Rfam family "Eukaryotic large subunit ribosomal RNA". Lineage: Eukaryota; Fungi; Ascomycota; Dothideomycetes; Pleosporales; Leptosphaeriaceae. The record is from RNAcentral.
ACUUUUAACAAUAGAUCUCUUAGUUCUAGCAUUAAUAAAGAACGCAGCGAAAUGCGAUAAGUAGUGUAAAUUGUAGAAUUUAGUAAAUUAUUAAAUCUUUAAACGUAUAUUGCGCCCCUUAGUAUUCUAUAGGGCAUACCUAUUUAAGCGUUAUUUGUACCCUUAAGCUCUACUUAGUGUUAGGUGUUUGUUCUACUUAGGACUUGCCUUAAAACAAUUAGCAGCUAGCAUAUUAGCCUAGAGCGUAGCAUAUUUUGCGCCUCUUAUUAUAGUUAUUAGUAUCUAUUAAGACACUUUUUAAGCUCUUAACCUUAGAUUAGGUAGGGAUACCUGCUAAACUUAAGCAUAUUAAUAAGCAGAGGAAAAGAAACUAAUAGGGAUUACCCUAGUAAUAGCAAGUAAAGCUGUAACAGCUUAAAUUUAAAAUCUAGCUCUUUUAGGGUCUAAGUUGUAAUUUGCAGAGAGCGCUUUAGUGUUAGUAGUAGUCUAAGUUCCUUAGAAUAGGAUAUUAUAGAGGGUAAGAAUCCUAUACAUAGUUACUAGCCUUUGCCGUGUAAAGCCCCUUUAACAAGUUAAGUUAUUUAGGAAUAUAGCUCUAAAUAGGAGGUAAAUUUCUUCUAAAGCUAAAUACUAGCUAGAGACUAAUAGCGCACAAGUAGAGUAAUAAAAAGAUAAAAAGCACUUUAAAAAGAGAGUUAAAUAGCACGUGAAAUUGUUAAAAGGGAAGCGCUUGCAGCUAGACUUGCCUAUAGUUGCUUCUCUAGGCUUUUGUCUAGUGCACUCUUUUAUAGGCAGGCUAGUAUUAGUUUAGGUAGUUAGAUAAAGGUCUCUAUUACCUACCUCCCUUUAGGGAGGCCUAUGGGGGGAGACAAUAUGUAACUAGCCUAGACUAUGGUCCGCGCAUCUACUAGGAUACUAGCGUAAUAGCUAUAAGCGGCCUAUCUUAUAAAUCCAGACUAAGGAGUCUAAUAUCUAUACAAGUGUUUAGGGGUUAAGCCUAGACGUGUAAUAAAAGUAAACAGAGGUAGGAACCCUUUUAGGGUGCACUAUUAACCAAUCCUAAUAUCUUUAGAAGGAUUUAAGUAAGAGUAUAGCUAUUAGGACCUAAAAGAUAGUAAACUAUGCUUAAAUAGGGUAAAGCUAGAGGAAACUCUAGUAGAGGCUCGUAGCAGUUCUAACGUGCAAAUUAAUUGUUAAAUUUAGGCAUAGGGGCAAAAGACUAAUUAAACUAUGUAGUAGCUAGUUCCUGCUAAAGUUUCCCUUAGGAUAGUAGUAACGUAUUUAGUUUUAUAAGGUAAAGCGAAUAAUUAGAGGCCUAGGGGUUAAAAUAACCUUUACCUAUUCUUAAACUUUAAAUAUGUAAGAAGUCCUUAUUACUUAAUUAAACGUAGACACUUAAAUAUACUAUUACUAGUAGGCUAUUUUUAGUAAGCAGAACUAGCGAUGCAGGAUAAACUAAACGUAGGGUUAAGGUGCUAGAAUGCACGCUUAUUAGACACUACAAAAGGUGUUAGUUUAUCUAGAUAGCAGGAUAGUAGCUAUAGAAGUUAGAAUCUACUAAGGAGUGUGUAAUAACUUACCUGCUAAAUAAACUAGCCCUAAAAAUAGAUAGCGCUUAAGCGUGUUACCUAUACCCCGCCGCCAGGGCAAGAUUUAAGCCCUAGCAAGUAGGCAGGCGUAGAGGCUUGUGACAAAGCCUUAGGGGUAACCCUAGGUAGAACAGCCUCUAGUGCAGAUCUUAGUAGUAGUAGCAAAUACUUAAAUAAGAACUUUAAGGACUAAAGUAGGGAAAGGUUCUAUAUAAAUAGCAGUUAGACAUAGGUUAGUUAAUCCUAAGAGAUAGGGUAAUUCUAUUUUAAUAUUAGUGCUUGCGCCAUACCCUUAAAAGGGAAGCUAGUUAAUAUUCUAGCACCUAGAUGUAGAUUCUCCGCGGCAACGCAACUAAGAGCAGAGACCUUAGCAGGAGCCCUAAGAAGAGUUCUCUUUUCUUCUUAACAGUCUAUUACCCUAAAAUUAGUUUGUCUAGAGCUAGGGUUUAAUAGCUAGAAGAGCGCUAUACUUUUAUAGUAUUUAGUGCGCUCCUAAUAAGCCUUAAAAAUCUACUUAAAGAAAUAGUUUUUACGCUAGGUUAUACUUAUAACCGUAGCAGGUCUCUAAGGUAAAAAGCCUCUAGUUAAUAGAACAAUGUAGAUAAGGGAAGUUAGCAAAAUAGAUCUGUAACUUUAGGAAAAGGAUUAGCUCUAAGGGUUAGGUACGUUAGGCCUUAGGGAGAAGCCUCUAGCGCAGAAGGGCACUAACUGCAAGGUGGGCGCCUCUUAGCGCUAGGGUGUAGACACCCUUAGUAGGUUUUGGCUGUCUAGCGUACGUUUAAUAACUAACUUAGAACUAGUAUAGAUAAGGGGAAUCUAACUAUCUAAUUAAAACAUAGUAUUACAAUAGCUAGAAAGUAGUAUUAAUAUAAUGUGAUUUCUGCCUAGUGCUCUAAAUAUUAAAGCAAAGAGAUUUAACUAAGCGCAGGUAAAUAGCAGGAGUAACUAUAACUCUCUUAAGGUAGCUAAAUGCCUUGUUAUCUAAUUAGUAACGCGCAUAAAUAGAUUAACAAGAUUCCUACUAUCCCUAUCUACUAUCUAGCGAAACUAUAGCUAAGGGAAUAGGCUUAGCUAAAUUAGCAGGGAAAGAAGACCCUAUUAAGCUUAACUCUAGUUUAACAUUAUAAAAAGAUAUAGGGGGUGUAGAAUAGGUAGGAGCUUUAGCGCUAGUAAAAUACUACUACCCUUAUUGUUUUUUUACUUAUUUAAUAAAGCAGAGCUAGGCCUUACUACCUAACUUCUAGCGUUUAAGGUCCUUUAUAGGCUAAUCUAGGUUAAAGAUAUUGUUAGGUAGGGAGUUUAGCUAGGGCAGCACAUCUAUUAAACUAUAACGUAGGUGUCCUAAGGGGGACUUAUAGAGAAUAGAAAUCUCUAGUAGAGUAAAAGGGCAAAAGUCCCCUUAAUUUUAAUUUUUAGUGUGAAUACAAACUAUAAAAGUAUAGCCUAUUAAUCCUUUAGUCCCUUAAAAUUUAAGGCUAGAGGUGCUAGAAAAGUUACUAUAGGGAUAACUGGCUUGUGGCAGCCAAGCGUUUAUAGCAACGUUGCUUUUUAAUCCUUUAAUAUUAGCUCUUCCUAUUAUACUAAAGUAGAAUUUAGUAAGCGUUAGAUUGUUUACCUACUAAUAGGGAACGUAAGCUAGGUUUAGACUAUUGUAAGAUAGGUUAGUUUUACCCUACUAAUAACCUUGCCCUAAUAGUAAUACCGCUUAGUACAAGAGGAACCGCGGUUUUAGAUAAUUAGUUUUUGCGGCUAUCUAACUAGGCAUUACUGCAAAGCUACUAUCUACUAGAUUAUAGCUAAACGCCUCUAAGUCAGAAUCCAUGCUAGAAUAGGGUGAUUUCCGCCUGCACUAGUUAGAUACAAAUAGGCCUUUGGCCUAGAACCUUACUAGAUUAGCGUUAGCAGCCCUAUUAAAGUUAGGGUUGUUAGCUAGUAUAUUACAAUUGUACAGUGCGCAGGAUUAAAUCCUUUGUAGAUAACUUAGUUGUCUAGCUAGGUCGUGUAAGUAGUUAAGUAGCCUUGUUGUUAUAAGCUACUAAGCGUAAGCCCGUUGCUAGCUUAGUUAAAAUUAGGAUAUUAUACCCUCCUUAUUUACAAAACUGCUACCUAAACAGCUACUAUUAAUAGAAGGAAGAGGGCUAUAGCAAACAAGUUAUAUAGUAAUUGCAAGAUAGAGAGGGCUAGAGCUAGGAGCAAUCCUCGCAAAAUAUAUAAAAGAACAGGUUGUGUGUGUACGUACCUUAGGCAGUUAAUAUAUAGUAUAGGAAGAUUAAGAAAGGAUUUAAGAUAAUCUAUAUAGAUUUUUAGGCAGUAAUCUAUAACUUAAGAGCGUUCUAUAACUUUUUAUUUUUUAGGGGUAGUAUUCUAUAACUCUAGGGCGUUCUAUAACUUUAGGGCGUUCUAUAACUUUAGGGCGUUCUAUAACUUUAGGGCGUUCUAUAACUUUUUAUUUUUUAGGGGUAGUGUUCUAUAACUUUAGGGCGUUCUAUACUUAAAAAAUCUUAUAGGCUAUUCUAUAACUAUAGAUUAUUCUAAACCUUUAGGGCAUUCUAUUAAUGUUUUAAAAAAUCUAGUAGGCUAUUUUAUAAGCUUAUAGCGUUCUAUAACUUUAGGGCGUUCUAUAACUUAGGGCGUUCUAUAACUUAGGGCGUUCUAUAACUUUUUACUUCUUAGGGGUAGUGUUCUAUAACUUAGGGCGUUCUAUACUUAAAAAAUCUUAUAGGCUAUUCUAUAACUAUAGAUUAUUCUAAACCUUUAGGGCAUUCUAUUAAUGUUUUAAAAAAUCUAGUAGGCUAUUUUAUAAGCUUAUAGCGUUCUAUAACUUUAGGGCGUUCUAUAACUUAGGGCGUUCUAUAACUUAGGGCGUUCUAUAACUUAGGGCGUUCUAUAACCUUUUACUUCUUAGGGGUAGUGUUCUAUAACUUAGGGCGUUCUAUAACCUUUUAUUUUUUAGGGGUAGUGUUCUAUAACUUAGGGCGUUCUAUAACUUUUUAUUUUUAGGGGUAGUGUUCUAUAACUUAGGGCGUUCUAUAACCUUUUAUUUUUUAGGGGUAGUGUUCUAUAACUUAGGGCGUUCUAUAACUUUUUAUUUUUAGGGGUAGUGUUCUAUAACUUAGGGCGUUCUAUACCUUUUGUUUAUUCUAUUACUUUAGUGCUUUCUAUAACUUUAGACUAUUCUAUAAUAGUAGCUAUUAUAUCCUUUUUAUAAUCCUUAUAGUAUUAUACUAUUAUCUAUUAUUCUUUACUCUUAAGUAUAUCCUUAUAUUUUAUAAAUCUUUUUCUUUACUAGCUAGUCCUACUAUACUUUUUUAUAACCUACUAGUAUUAAAUAAUACCUUUAUAUUCUUCCUCUAUACUAUCUCUAUUUCUUGCCUUAUAUAUUAAGUAGAUAUAGAUAGAGCUAAUAGAUCUAUAGUUAAUAUAGAUAAAGUAGUUAUAGUAGAGUAUAGAUAUUAGAGUAGAGAUCCUUAUCUAUAUAUUUACCUACUACUAAUAGAAUUCUAAGUUACUCUUAUCUAGCGAAUACGGGUUUAUAGUUUUUAUAGGGCUGCGCAUAUCUACACAGUUUUAUAUAUAAAAAAGUGUACCUAUAAGCUAUUUUCUGCCGCACUAACCCCGCGACGCAAAAAUUAAACUAAAACCUGUUCCUAUAAUAUAUAAGGAGGGCAAAUAGAUUCUUAAAUACUAAAUGCCUAACUAACUAACUAAGGUUAAAUCUGCUGCGCGCAGUUCUUAGAUUAGGCAGUUAAACUAGCGUUAUUAGGCACUAAGGGGGCAAUUUUUGCUUGUGUCCGCGUCUAUACUCCCUAUAACUCCCUAUUGUUAGCGCUCUACGCCUAUUUUAGUGGUAGUUAGACUAAAUUUAAAAGUUUUAGUUUUAUAAUAGCUAGCCUUAUUUCCUAGAUUUCUGCCUAGUUUAGAUUUACUCUAAUUAGUAGGUAAUUAGGGGCUUAGAGAUUGCUCUUCUACUUAACUAGGCAGGCCUAGGCCUAUAUGCUAAAGCAACCCUGCUAUUACGCCUAGUUUUAUAGUUAGCACCUAAAGUCCUACUAUUAAAGUUUUAGUAGUAGGUAAAAUUUAGGGUUUAUAGAUAGCUAGCACUACUAAACUAUUUAACAGAUCUUAGGGGAUAGCCCUACCUAGCAUCCGCUCCUAGUAAGCGUGGCAAAGCGUAGGUUUUCUCUACUUAAGGCAUGUAUAUAGCGAGUUUAAAUACGUAGAAACGCCUAUUAGGCUUUAUUGCAGACUAUUCCUUAAGAAACUUAGUAGGGGCAAUUAAAUUAGUUGCUAGUUGUAACUAGUGCCUUAUGUGCUAUUAUACUAGUAGCUAGAAUUACUUCUGCGAUUUCUUAUCACGUACUUUCCACCUCCUUUUAGGGGUAGUGCUUAUGCGCUUUAGCGUAUUAGGUAUUAGGAUUGUUACCUAGUUAAUUCUACUAGUAGUUAUAUACUUAUCUUAAAGAUUAAGCCAUGUAUAUCUAAGUAUAAGCAAUUAUACUGUAAAACUGCAAAUAGCUUAUUAAAUUAGUUAUUAUUUAUUUAAUAGUACCUUACUACUUAGAUAACUAUAGUAAUUCUAGAGCUAAUACAUGCUAAAAACCCUAACUUUAGAAGGGGUGUAUUUAUUAGAUAAAAAACUAACGCCCUUUAGGGCUUCUUAGUAAUUUAUAAUAACUUUACAGAUCGCAUAGCCUUACGCUAGCGAUAGUUCAUUUAAAUUUCUGCCCUAUUAACUUUU